RNAcentral lists this ribosomal RNA (638 nucleotides) under Calonarius odorifer. RNAcentral's name for it is "eukaryotic LSU rRNA". The stretch from base 261 to 414 matches the Rfam family "5.8S ribosomal RNA". Lineage: Eukaryota; Fungi; Basidiomycota; Agaricomycetes; Agaricales; Cortinariaceae. The record is from RNAcentral.
AACCUGCGGAAGGAUCAUUAUUGAAAUAAACCUGAUAAGUUGUUGCUGGCUCUCUAGGGAGCAUGUGCACACUUGUCAUCUUUGUACCUUCACCUGUGCACCUUUUGUAGACUUGAGUAUCUCUCUGAAUGCUUUUGUAUUCAGGAUUGAGGAUUGACUUUCUGUCUUUUCUUAUAUUUUCAAGUCUAUGUUUCUUCAUAUACCCUAAUGUAUGUUCAAGAAUGUAAUUAAUGGGCCUUUUGUGCCUAUAAAGUCUAUACAACUUUCAGCAACGGAUCUCUUGGCUCUCGCAUCGAUGAAGAACGCAGCGAAAUGCGAUAAGUAAUGUGAAUUGCAGAAUUCAGUGAAUCAUCGAAUCUUUGAACGCACCUUGCGCUCCUUGGUAUUCCGAGGAGCAUGCCUGUUUGAGUGUCAUUAAUAUAUAUCAACCUUUGGUUGGAUGUGGGUUUGCUGGCCUCUUAAGGUCAGCUCCCCUUAAAUGCAUUAGCGGACAAUAUAUUGCCAACUGUUCAUUGGUGUGAUAAUUUAUCUACACUAUUAACCUGACGCAAUGUUCAGCUUCUAACGGUCCAUUGACUUGGACAAAUUUAUUUUAUUAAUGUGACCUCAAAUCAGGUAGGACUACCCGCUGAACUUAA